UGGGGAAUAUUGCACAAUUGGCGCAAGCCUGAUGCAGCCAUGCCGCGUGUAUGAAGAAGGCCUUCGGGUUGUAAAGUACUUUCAGUCGGGAGGAAGGUGGUAAGGUUAAUAACCUUAUCAAUUGACGUUACCGACAGAAGAAGCACCGGCUAACUCCGUGCCAGCAGCCGCGGUAAUACGGAGGGUGCAAGCGUUAAUCGGAAUUACUGGGCGUAAAGCGCACGCAGGCGGUUGAUUGAGUCAGAUGUGAAAUCCCCGGGCUUAACCCGGGAAUUGCAUCUGAUACUGGUCAGCUAGAGUCUUGUAGAGGGGGGUAGAAUUCCAUGUGUAGCGGUGAAAUGCGUAGAGAUGUGGAGGAAUACCGGUGGCGAAGGCGGCCCCCUGGACAAAGACUGACGCUCAGGUGCGAAAGCGUGGGGAGCAAACAGG
RNAcentral lists this ribosomal RNA (429 nucleotides) under Chloroflexota bacterium. RNAcentral describes it as "Chloroflexi bacterium partial 16S ribosomal RNA". It matches the Rfam family "Bacterial small subunit ribosomal RNA", at positions 355 to 776 of the family's 1533-position model. The record is from RNAcentral. Lineage: Bacteria; Bacillati; Chloroflexota.